RNAcentral lists this transfer RNA (72 nucleotides) under Candidatus Roizmanbacteria bacterium RIFCSPHIGHO2_01_FULL_38_41. Its description in RNAcentral is "tRNA-Lys". It matches the Rfam family "tRNA". Rfam says of the family: Transfer RNA (tRNA) molecules are approximately 80 nucleotides in length. Their secondary structure includes four short double-helical elements and three loops (D, anti-codon, and T loops). Lineage: Bacteria; Candidatus Roizmaniibacteriota. The record is from RNAcentral. RNAcentral also lists the same sequence under 4 other names.
GGCCCGGUAGCUCAAGGGUAGAGCAGUGGCCUUUUAAGCCAUUGGUUGUGGGUUCGAAUCCCUCCCGGGUCA